RNA transcript from Gadus morhua (Atlantic cod), 3894 nucleotides. RefSeq lists it as uncharacterized. The record is from RefSeq and is a predicted model, not a curated record. The transcript has 9 exons. NCBI's taxonomy places the organism in Eukaryota, Metazoa, Chordata, Actinopteri, Gadiformes, Gadidae.
CCUACAACGGUUGACACUAGCAUGGGCGCAGUUGCUGAUGGCCUGACUCAGGUCAGGCAGGGUCAGUAGACCAGUUCAGAGACUGGACUUGUGAGCGUUCGUGUCACUUGACACUAGGAAAGAAAGAAAAAGAUUUCCGGAAAUGUGUAUCAUACAGUGCACUGUGAUACAUGAGAUUGGUAAUAUUGCAUUGAGUUCAAACAAUGAAAAGUGUUCCAUCUUUAAUGUGAAAAGAGUUCCAGAAAUGUAUAUCAUACAGUGCACUGUGAUACAUGAGAUUGGUAAUAUUGCAUUGAGUUCCAACAUUGAGAAGUGUUUCAUCUUUAAUGUGAAAAGAGUUCCAGAAAUGUCUAUCAUACCGUGUCGGAAUGUAUUGGUUGGUUUUACAUUGAGUUCCAGAAGGCCAUACACAUUUUCCUAGUUUGGUAAUAGAAUUAACAGAAUAGUGCUUUAAUAAUCCUUAAGUGAUGUUCCUAGCCAAUGUUGAUAAUUUCAGUGUUAAGGUCGUAAGAAUCUCAAGGGGGAGAUGUAAUAGAAUUGUAUGAUCACGUGUAAAUUACGUACCCGGAUAUACGGGGCACGCAUGCGCGGACGCGGACCGAAAGUAAAGACGUUGAUUUAACUUGGACCGAUGUGUGGACGUCUUUUAUUAUAAGUAACCGAAUACUUUACAAUAGGCGGAGGCAAAUUACACUUAACACCCAAGUCUAGUAAUUGUUUAAUUCAACACCACGAAGUAUGAUGAAGACAGUAAGAAUACUGCAAACUUUAGCAGGCUACUUGGCUAACUCAACAGGCUGACGGGGAUAUCGGCCUUGCUAUAAAAUGCCAUUGUGAGCCAGCUGUAGCUUCUGUAACUUGAUGUCACAUUUAACCUUUCAUUCAGAGUAGAUUAUAAUUUAAUGGGCUUUUACAGUUUUAAGAUUGCAUUAAUUUCGCUUGCCUUUGGAUGUGCAAUGACAACCUGCUAAUAUCGACGAAAUCGGGCGGGAAUCAACAAAGAUGUCGCGUGCAGUCCCAACAUUGCAUUUAUCUGUUAACUAUAAUGCUGUUGCACAAGCUUGCAAUGGUAGUGCUAGCACUACAAGGCGCGAAAAAUCUACUUUGUCUAAACAAAGGAUAGCUUCAUACCGUAGCUUUCCGUUCCUCGCCUUGUCUUCUUUUACUCGUCAAGCAGGGUGUUCUGCCAAUUUCUGCUACCCAUCAUAUUGUGCUACCUACUUUGUUCCGCGCAUGCGCAUGAUUACGCUAUUUAUCCGUGGUUUGGUAUAAAAUACACAUACUGUACCCCUGAAAUCUCCAAUAAAGGUGUUAUAAUAAUACAGUAUCAAAUUAUGCUCUGCAUAUUCUUACCGUGUACAUGGAGUGAGUAGUGGUGUACAACAACGUGAUUCUGUAGUGGGAGCAUCGUUUGAUAGAGGCAGUUGGACUAUAGAUUAAAUACGCUUCCUGACACAUAAGAAUAUGGGGAGCAUAAUUUGAUGCUGUAUUAAAACUUCUUUAUUGGAGAUUUCAGGGGUACAAUGGAUUUUACAAUUUUACACGUCAUCAUGCGCCUGCGCAGAACCAUUAGGUACUGAAUCUGAUAGGUAGCAUUUAGCACUGGUGUUGUACCAAACUGCAAGAAUUUCAAAAGCAUUUGGUUAGCUAUGUGUCUCUCUGUCUGCAGACUAAAUGCCACCAAUGGUAAUCUUAACUUACCUUAUUGAGGAUUUCAAGCGAAAACGACCACGUAUCACUGUGGUCUGGGUCUCAACCGUGAAGUGUUCGCGGGAAUGGGAGGAAAUGAGCCUAGCAGCCCCAUCGUAGAUUACACGGGAGGCUGCUGUGAAUCAAGAGGCGAGAUCUAAAUCAACUGCUGUAGUUCAAAUGACUCUGUACUCAAUUGGAUAGUCCUUCAACCAAUCAGACCAACGAUCAAAAAGCUGCUUGCCGUCGCUUCCCUGUCCUUAUUGGGUUAAACCAGCCAAUAGCGCGCCAGGGGGUGAUUGGCUCCAGUAAAACUGCAUCGAAAACAGAAAGAAAUGUAAUGCUCCACUCAAAUACAAAUCCCCCCCACCCGCUUAUCUACCCACUUAUUUAUUUAUCUAAGAUCACAGAAAAUACAUAAAAGCUAGAAAUAUGAACGAGUACGCGAUUGACGCUUGUGUGACGUCAUGUUCUAAAAAAUGAAACAAAAAUCGACCAGUGAUCUUGACAUCACUUGUUGUCAGUCAAGUUUAAAGAAAUCCACCAAUCACUAUAAUAGGCUAAUAAUAGUAACACCUGGCCCAAUGUUUUCUAGGACCUUUCAGUUUUGAUUUAAGAUGAAUUUACACAUUCCCAUCUUCUUUACCUGCACAAAACCUAGGCCUAGUCCUGUACUGUUUCACACACUGCAUGUAUCAUGAACUGUACCGUUUAAAACAAUUACAUUCAUUUCCUAUACAUUUCUUUUUGCAUCAUAGAUCAUUCCCUCCAGUCCCUGUUGACCUCAUUCUUGUCAGAAUGUAUAGUAUAGUGGAGUUUUUGGGGGAAAAGACAGUUGGUAUAGUGGCCAGUAAUUGGAUCACAAAAGAGGGAGAUAAGACAUGCAGCUACUGGCCACUCCACAAGACAACACAGAGGGCAAAGGCAAAAGAUCUGCACGAUCCUAAAACCUGGCCAAAUAGGCCAAUAAAAAUCUUUUCUUCAACAGAUGAUUGGGAUCAGGCCGUCAGGAUGAACAAGAGGGCGGAGACAAAGUCCUCUGUGGAGACAGGAAAGGAGGACAAAGGGAGGCGCAUCAUUGUCAAACCCCAAAAAUGUAUUCACAACGGUGAAAAGAAAACACAAAGAAAUUAAACACAGAAAGAAACCAAAUGCAAAAAAGGCAGAACAAGGUCCACAUUUCAGGACUUUUCUUCCCCCUCUACCCCAGACAGAAACCCCAAUUCCACGGCCUAGCCCACAACAACAAUCUUCACCCCCUUUGACUGAUGACGGUAAAGUUUUGCAAGGGAAUAAUGGUUAAAAACAACUACCAAUAAUUGUAUAGAAGUCAAGAAGACACUAUGGUUCGAAACAAAAACACGUAACCUAAAUUCUUAUCUUGUUCUUUCUGUAUUUACUCUUUCUCUUAUUACUCCCUUCCUUCUUCACCGGCAAGACAAGUUUUUACAGAAAAUUAUGGUAAAGUUAUGUAUGGUGAUGAUGACGAAUGAUGAUGAGUCGACAUAACAGUUAUUCUAUGAGCCAAGACAACAAAGAGUUUGGAACCAAAAAGAUGACAUUGAAUUAUUGUUUUGUGCUUUCUGCAGAUGAUUCGAUCCCAUCAUCAAUUGAAACGUCAUUGCCUAUCUCUACUAGUGACGGUAAAGUGGCAGGUGGAGAGGGUGGUUAAAAGCAGCGACAUUGGAGGUUCUGCUCCGAAAGCUUGAGACAGUUGAACAGAAUCAAAGAGAGGCUCUGAUUCUGCUACGGGCAAAUCGACGUGGGGACCCUGGGGAAGCUAGUGUCGAGUUACUGCAGGCGCAAACUCAGGCCGACCUGCAGGAUCUCAAGGAGCGCCUUAAAAAUAGGGAUUUCACCAAAAAAAUGAUUUCCCAUCUGAGCCUAGUUGGGGGGUCCAAUCCUGGGGAGUGUGUGAGGAGGGUGUUGCGCUCUGUGGCCUCAAACUUUGUUUGGAGCAGCUACAGCCUUAGGGGAAAGAAGGGGAAGAUGCCACUGCUUAGCACAGCAGUGGGCAGUACCAUCAAACAGGCAAUCAUGAAAUGGAAGCCGGGUCUGGAAGAGAAGGAGGUGGAGCUUCUGAUGGCAGAGGUCUUGAAACAUGCCCCCUCAGCCCACUCCAAGUUUGAAGGGUCGGAUGGAACGGCAGUUGGAAGAAGUGUUUUAAAUAAAUAAAAAUAGAAUCCAUUUAUAUUUGCAAGUGUA